Molecule: ribosomal RNA, 756 nt
Filed under: uncultured Pseudomonadaceae bacterium
Lineage: Bacteria; Pseudomonadati; Pseudomonadota; Gammaproteobacteria; Pseudomonadales; Pseudomonadaceae
Description: SSU rRNA
Rfam family: Bacterial small subunit ribosomal RNA
Source: RNAcentral
AGCGGAUGACGGGAGCUUGCUCCUUGAUUCAGCGGCGGACGGGUGAGUAAUGCCUAGGAAUCUGCCUGGUAGUGGGGGACAACGUUUCGAAAGGAACGCUAAUACCGCAUACGUCCUACGGGAGAAAGCAGGGGACCUUCGGGCCUUGCGCUAUCAGAUGAGCCUAGGUCGGAUUAGCUAGUUGGUGGGGUAAUGGCUCACCAAGGCGACGAUCCGUAACUGGUCUGAGAGGAUGAUCAGUCACACUGGAACUGAGACACGGUCCAGACUCCUACGGGAGGCAGCAGUGGGGAAUAUUGGACAAUGGGCGAAAGCCUGAUCCAGCCAUGCCGCGUGUGUGAAGAAGGUCUUCGGAUUGUAAAGCACUUUAAGUUGGGAGGAAGGGCAGUAAGUUAAUACCUUGCUGUUUUGACGUUACCGACAGAAUAAGCACCGGCUAACUCUGUGCCAGCAGCCGCGGUAAUACAGAGGGUGCAAGCGUUAAUCGGAAUUACUGGGCGUAAAGCGCGCGUAGGUGGUUCGUUAAGUUGGAUGUGAAAGCCCCGGGCUCAACCUGGGAACUGCAUCCAAAACUGGCGAGCUAGAGUACGGUAGAGGGUGGUGGAAUUUCCUGUGUAGCGGUGAAAUGCGUAGAUAUAGGAAGGAACACCAGUGGCGAAGGCGACCACCUGGACUGAUACUGACACUGAGGUGCGAAAGCGUGGGGAGCAAACAGGAUUAGAUAUCCUGGUAGUCCACGCCGUACACGAUGUCAAC